GAUGAACGCUGGCGGCGUGCCUAAUACAUGCAAGUCGAGCGAACGGACGAGAAGCUUGCUUCUCUGACGUUAGCGGCGGACGGGUGAGUAACACGUGGAUAACCUACCUAUAAGACUGGGAUAACUUCGGGAAACCGGAGCUAAUACCGGAUAAUAUUUUGAACCGCAUGGUUCAAAAGUGAAAGACGGUCUUGCUGUCACUUAUAGAUGGAUCCGCGCUGCAUUAGCUAGUUGGUAAGGUAACGGCUUACCAAGGCAACGAUGCAUAGCCGACCUGAGAGGGUGAUAGGCCACACUGGAACUGAGACACGGUCCAGACUCCUACGGGAGGCAGCAGUAGGGAAUCUUCCGCAAAGGGCGAAAGCCUGACGGAGCAACGCCGCGUGAGUGAUGAAGGUCUUCGGAUCGUAAAACUCUGUUAUUAGGGAAGAACAUAUGUGUAAGUAACUGUGCACAUCUUGACGGUACCUAAUCAGAAAGCCACGGCUAACUACGUG
RNAcentral lists this ribosomal RNA (497 nucleotides) under uncultured bacterium. Its description in RNAcentral is "partial 16S ribosomal RNA". It matches the Rfam family "Bacterial small subunit ribosomal RNA", at positions 28 to 507 of the family's 1533-position model. The record is from RNAcentral.